AAGAUAUUCCUUAUAGACGUAUGUGUUAAGGAGGGGUGUCUGUAAAUUAAUCUAGGUGAAUCAUGUUUAAAAAUGCAAUCGUUUAAAAAGAGAAGGCUUGGAAUAGGAAAUGUGGCAGAUUUUACAUUAUACAGAUAGGGGUUAAGUCGCUACCGGAACUCUUUGGAGUCCCAUGAUGCGCCGCUUAUGCACGGACGGAAGUUCCCAUUAAUUCAGCGGAGUGGCCCGUCUUGUCUAUAGAAGGUCUUACUUUGGUGUGAGUUUGUUGGUGGUCUUUGAAGCGGCAUGUGUUGAUGUUACGCAACAAGGACGUGCUGCUGAAGCUUUCAGUGUGACCCCAGUGUGGAGAGAGCAGCAACAAGGACGUGCUGCUGAAGCUUUCAGUGUGACCCCAGUGUGGAGAGAGCAGCAACAGGGACGUGCUGCUGAAGCUUUCAGUGUGACCCCAGUGUGGAGAGAGCAGCAACAAGGACGUGCUGCUGAAGCUUUCAGUGUGACCCCAGUGUGGAGAGAGCAGCAACAAGGACGUGCUGCUGAAGCUUUCAGUGUGACCCCAGUGUGGAGAGAGCAGCAACAAGGACGUGCUGCUGAAGCUUUCAGUGUGACCCCAGUGUGGAGAGAGCAGCAGGAGACACACGAUGGAAGCCUUCCAGAGACUCAACUACCUCUAUCAGGCUGCGCACUGUGUCCUGGCCCAGAACCCAGACAAUGUGGAGCUUGCUCGGUUCUACUGCCACACUGAGAGAACCAUCUCCAGGCGCCUGGUCCUCAGACAAGAUCCAUCUGUUAAAAGAACAGUGUGUAAAAAAUGCUGCUCCCUGCUGAUUCCUGGAGUAACUGCAACAGUGAGACAGAGAAAGUAUAAUCGGAGACAGAGGCUGACAGUGGUGCGAUGCCUGAGCUGCGGGCAGACCAAGCGCUUCCGCAAUGACCCCGAGUACCAGCUGUGGGUGGAGCGGCCCGAAGCCUUGCUGCAGAACCAGCCCAAGCCCGGGGAGACUCUCUGCCCUGGCACAGCAAGGGGUUCCUGCCCACAGGAAAGCUCCGGUAUAUUGCAUACACUGCAUAAUUUUACCAUCUAGGCAACAAAGUCAUGAAUUACAACAGAAAACCUCAAAGUUCCAAACCCUACGCUUUUACAAACCAAGUAUGGCAAUAACUGAAUUCAGAGGCCAGGCCUCCAGCCCCUGGGCCCUACACAGCCACUCAAGCCCUCAGCUGAAGCUGUCCUGCAUCCAGGGAAUCUGGCUCUUCUAAACAGACUGGACUGGAAAUUAACAUGUGUUCGUGCCAUAUGUGUUCAGCCCACUAGGGGGCGUGGCACUGACCUGAGCACUCUUUCACGUCUCUCUUUAGCCUGCUUAAUCUCAACUGUUUGAAUCCGCAGCAAGGUUUGUUUGUAAAAUAGUUGUUUUUUAUUGAACAUUUAAAACAUAGUAUUCUAAAAUGUCGUCUUUUUUGUAGAUUUUCACAUAUUAAAGGGUAGUGAGUUAAGACAUGUGUUUUGUAUUUAUAUAAUAAAAAAAGUGACUCCCUUUUAUAAUUCUUAUGAAGAUGAAAGACAGUUCCAGGUUGAAAUGUUUGUCUAAUUUUAAUAUUCAUCACAUCUCGCAAUACUGAACAACACACUGAACACUGAAGUUGUUUAAAGACGACGGUCACAUUAAAAGAUGGAUGCAAACUAGGGCUGGAAGGAUGGAAAAUCUAAGAAUUUGUAAAUAUACAAGUUAAUUUCUGCAAAUAUCCUUUGAUAGUUCCAUUAAAGGUGACACAACUUCCAUAAUGAAUAUAUCAUUUUUGGCCAUCAUGUGUAGACAUUGAUAUAGUCCCUUCUCCUUAAAAACAAA
Molecule: RNA transcript, 1847 nt
Organism: Acipenser ruthenus (sterlet)
Lineage: Eukaryota; Metazoa; Chordata; Actinopteri; Acipenseriformes; Acipenseridae
Gene: rpp21
Gene name: ribonuclease P 21 subunit
Exons: 7
Source: RefSeq, a predicted model, not a curated record